RNAcentral lists this ribosomal RNA (406 nucleotides) under uncultured bacterium. Its description in RNAcentral is "partial 16S ribosomal RNA". It matches the Rfam family "Bacterial small subunit ribosomal RNA", at positions 30 to 526 of the family's 1533-position model. The record is from RNAcentral.
AUUGAACGCUGGCGGCAGGCCUAACACAUGCAAGUCGAACGAGUGGCGCACGGUUGAGUAAUGUCUGUGAAACUUCCCGAUGGAGGGGGAUAACUACUGUUAACGGUAGCUACUACCGCAUACCAUCGGAUGUUCCCCGAUGGGAUUAGCUAGUAGGUGGGGUAACGGCUCACCUAGGCGACGAUCCCUAGCUGGUCUGAGAGGAUGACCAGCCAGACUGGGACUGAGACACGGUCCAGACUCCUCCGAGAGGCAGCAGUGGGGAAGAUUGCACAAUGGGCGAAAGCCUGAUGCAGCAAUGCGGCGGGUAUGAAGAGGGCGUUAGGGUUGUAAAGUACUUUGAGCGAGGAGGCGUUAGUCGCAGAGGCAGCAACGGCUAACUCCGUGGCAGCAGCCGCGGUAAUUC